This 74-nucleotide transfer RNA is filed under the name Aedes aegypti (yellow fever mosquito). It matches the Rfam family "tRNA". From Rfam's summary of the family: Transfer RNA (tRNA) molecules are approximately 80 nucleotides in length. Their secondary structure includes four short double-helical elements and three loops (D, anti-codon, and T loops). The record is from Rfam by way of RNAcentral. Lineage: Eukaryota; Metazoa; Arthropoda; Insecta; Diptera; Culicidae.
CCUCUCAUGGCGUAGUGGUUAACGCGCCCCAACUAGAGAUCUGGGAGUCGUGAGUUCGAUUCUCACUGAGAAGA